RNAcentral lists this ribosomal RNA (528 nucleotides) under uncultured bacterium. RNAcentral describes it as "bacterial SSU rRNA". It matches the Rfam family "Bacterial small subunit ribosomal RNA", at positions 364 to 884 of the family's 1533-position model. The record is from RNAcentral.
UUCCGCAAUGGACGAAAGUCUGACGGAGCAACGCCGCGUGAGUGAUGAAGGUUUUCGGAUCGUAAAACUCUGUUGUUAGGGAAGAACAAGUACCGUUCGAAUAGGGCGGUACCUUGACGGUACCUAACCAGAAAGCCACGGCUAACUUCGUGCCAGCAGCCGCGGUAAUACGAAGGGGGCUAGCGUUGUUCGGAAUUACUGGGCGUAAAGCGUGCGCAGGCGGUUUUGUAAGACAGAGGUGAAAUCCCCGGGCUCAAUCUGGGAACUGCCUUUGUGACUGCAAGGCUAGAGUACGGCAGAGGGGGAUGGAAUUCCGCGUGUAGCAGUGAAAUGCGUAGAUAUGCGGAGGAACACCGAUGGCGAAGGCAAUCCCCUGGGCCUGUACUGACGCUCAUGCACGAAAGCGUGGGGAGCAAACAGGAUUAGAUACCCUGGUAGUCCACGCCCUAAACGAUGUCAACUGGUUGUUGGGUCUUCACUGACUCAGUAACGAAGCUAACGCGUGAAGUUGACCGCCUGGGGAGUACG